Molecule: ribosomal RNA, 468 nt
Filed under: uncultured bacterium
Lineage: Bacteria
Description: partial 16S ribosomal RNA
Rfam family: Bacterial small subunit ribosomal RNA
Source: RNAcentral
GACGAACGCUGGCGGCGUGCUUAACACAUGCAAGUCGAACGGAAAGGCCCUGCUUUUGUGGGUUGCUCGAGUGGCGAACGGGUGAGUAACACGUGAGUAACCUGCCCUUUACUUUGGGAUAACUUCAGGAAACUGGGGCUAAUACCGGAUAGGAGCUCCUGCUGCAUGGUGGGGGUUGGAAAGUUUCGGCGGUUGUGGAUGGACUCGCGGCUUAUCAGCUUGUUGGUGGGGUAGUGGCUUACCAAGGCUUUGACGGGUAGCCGGCCUGAGAGGGUUACCGGCCACAUUGGGACUGAGAGACGGCCCAGACUCCUACGGGAGGCAGCAGUGGGGAAUAUUGCACAAUGGGCGGAAGCCUGAUGCAGCAACGCCGCGUGCGGGAUGACGGCCUUCGGGUUGUAAACCGCUUUCGCCUGUGACGAAGCGUGAGUGACGGUAAUGGGUAAAGAAGCACCGGCUAACUACGUG